Long non-coding RNA from Oreochromis aureus, 1957 nucleotides. The record is from Ensembl. NCBI's taxonomy places the organism in Eukaryota, Metazoa, Chordata, Actinopteri, Cichliformes, Cichlidae.
AGAUGGCCUACUCUAUAUAACUUCUCCAUGCUCUUAAACUUUCUUUUAUUAUUGUGUUUAUUUCCUGUUUUUAUGCUUGUCUUAUUUGGUCUGUAAGUGUCCUUGGGUGUUUUGAAAAAGGCGCUUUUAAAUAAAAUUUAGUAGUAGUAGUAGUAGUAGUAGUAGUAGUACAAGUUUACAUUAACGUUUUAUUUUGAAGAGCGCGGCCUUGGGUGGUUUUUUUUUUAGGGGGGUUUUUGGUAGAGAAGACAGUAUGAGAACAAAGAAAAGGUGGAGCUCAGGAAGUUGAGUAUUUAGUCACCAGAGCGAUGGCUGCAGGGUGGAAGCUGAGCGCUGCGGUGCUGCUGAGUGUGUUUGUGCAGGUUUUGAGCGGGCUGCCAGUGAAGUGCACCGUCUCCCGUGAUGGUGGCAGGACUACGUACGCCCUCCAGACCGGGUUUUAUGACAAGGAUGUGCAGAAGCCCGAGUUCUCGUGGUUUAACAUCUCCAAAUACGUCCUCGCCAACCACAUUGGCCAAAUUGAUGUGGUGAAAAGUUGCAGCUUCAACGUUCUCACUGUCAGAGGCUGCAUCGAAAACCUUUUCUGUGAAGGACACAUCAACUCCAAGGGGAAACCUCUCGACUACACGGCCAACUGCACCACCGUCUGCCCUUCAGAAGCUUUGCCUGGAGACCAAGUGUUUAUCAGCGCCGGGCUGCAUGCUGUGUGUCGUCCCAUUCAGGUUAUGGAACUCUCAUCGCUGGAUCAUCGCUGUCAUUGUCAUUGUCAUAGUGAUAGCGCUUGUAUGCAUCAUGUGCUUCCUGUGCUGCAGAAAUGAAAAUCUCAGGAGAUGCCGCUGUGGGCAAACCAGAGGACUCUACACCGUCAAGAAGAAAGAAGCAGCAAAGCCAGAAGUUGUGUAAAAAGAACAGAUCUGAUGAUCUUUCCCCUUUUUUCACUUAGAGUGUGCAUGAAAAGGUUAAUCUCUACCUCUGAGUGGAUGCUUUCUGUAGUUUCCCACUGCGUCUACACAGUAAGUCCACGCUUCCUGUGGACUUGUUUUCAGUUCCUCUUUGUUCGCACUUUGGCCCAGUUAAUGACAGCACGGUGGUGGUAAUGAGUGACAGAAGGACACUUAUGUGACUGGAUGCUGGAGACUUGAAGUGCUAAACUCUAACUCAUGUGUGACUUUUUAUUUUAAGCUUUACUUAAUAAUGAUAAUAAUGCAACAAUGUUUACUUUAUUGAUCCCCGUGGGGAAAUUCCUCUCUGCAUUUAACCCAUUCACUCAGUGAAGCAGUGGGCAGCCACUGGGCGCCCGGGGAGCAGCGUGUAGGGACGGUACCUUGCUCAGGGAUUCAAACCCUCCUGUUUUGCAUUAUAAUUGCCAAAACUGAACCCCAGCUCACUGAUUUGUGUUACUGUAACUGUAUCCUGUUACAGCGUCGAUCCCAUCGUUGAUUUUGAUUCCACUUGCCGGUCAGCUGUGAGGGAUUGGUGCACAGGUGAAAAGUUCUCUGGGCUGUGGAAGCUCUCAGACUCUUUGCUGCACCAGCGAGUGCACUUUGAGGAGCUAAUACUAAACCCCCCCCCCCGCCCCGCCAAAUUGUGUAAACCAGCUGUGGAAGCUCGGAGACUUGUAAUGCAGCACCAGGGCGUGCACUUUCAGUGUCCUAUAGCAUUACAGCACAUAGUAUAUAUAAUAUAUAGUAAUAUAAAGAUGAAUAUAGAUGACUUACUAUCUAUAUGCUGCUGAUAUUUUUAUAAUAUGAAAGUAUAUUAUUUAUAUAUAAAUGUAUUAUGUAUUAUUAUUAUUAUAUAACUUGUAAGGAUGAAUAUUGUGAUCUUAAACUACUCGUCAUGUGUCCUUCUCUUAUGAAAUUUAUAUUUUAUGCUGUCAAUCAAACAUUUGAUUCUGUAUAAGCUGUAUCUGUUGCAUUAUUGUUUCUUUUUCAGUCAUUAAAAGCUUCUGUUCAGA